UGGGGAAUUUUGGACAAUGGGCGCAAGCCUGAUCCAGCCAUGCCGCGUGCGGGAAGAAGGCCUUCGGGUUGUAAACCGCUUUUGUCAGGGAAGAAAUCUUCUGAGUUAAUACCUCGGGAGGAUGACGGUACCUGAAGAAUAAGCACCGGCUAACUACGUGCCAGCAGCCGCGGUAAUACGUAGGGUGCAAGCGUUAAUCGGAAUUACUGGGCGUAAAGCGUGCGCAGGCGGUUUUGUAAGACAGAGGUGAAAUCCCCGGGCUCAACCUGGGAACUGCCUUUGUGACUGCAAGGCUUGAGUGCGGCAGAGGGGGGAUGGAAUUCCGCGUGUAGCAGUGAAAUUGCGUAGAUAUGCGGAGGAACACCGAUGGCGAAGGCAAUCCCCUGGGCCUGCACUGACGCUCAUGCACGAAAGCGUGGGGAGCAAACAGGAUUAGAUAGCCCUGGUAGUCCACGCCCUAAACGAUGUCAACUGGUUGUU
This 480-nucleotide ribosomal RNA is filed under the name uncultured bacterium. Its description in RNAcentral is "partial 16S ribosomal RNA". It matches the Rfam family "Bacterial small subunit ribosomal RNA", at positions 355 to 824 of the family's 1533-position model. The record is from RNAcentral.